UACAGAGGGUGCGAGCGUUAAUCGGAAUUACUGGGCGUAAAGCGUGCGCAGGCGGUUGUGUAAGACAGAUGUGAAAUCCCCGGGCUCAACCUGGGAACUGCAUUUGUGACUGCACGGCUCGAGUGCGGCAGAGGGGGAUGGAAUUCCGCGUGUAGCAGUGAAAUGCGUAGAUAUGCGGAGGAACACCGAUGGCGAAGGCAAUCCCCUGGGCCUGCACUGACGCUCAUGCAUGAAAGCGUGGGGAGCAAACAGG
This 253-nucleotide ribosomal RNA is filed under the name uncultured bacterium. Its description in RNAcentral is "partial 16S ribosomal RNA". It matches the Rfam family "Bacterial small subunit ribosomal RNA", at positions 524 to 776 of the family's 1533-position model. The record is from RNAcentral.